Herpailurus yagouaroundi (jaguarundi) is the source of this 4132-nucleotide long non-coding RNA. RefSeq lists it as uncharacterized. The transcript is spliced from 2 exons. The record is from RefSeq and is a predicted model, not a curated record. Lineage: Eukaryota; Metazoa; Chordata; Mammalia; Carnivora; Felidae.
CAAAAGCAGACGUUUCACCGACUGAGCCACUCAGGCACCCCUCACGGCGGCACUUUAAGGGGCCUUUGUCCUCGGAAUGAAGGUCAUCCUAUGGAGGCUACUCUGAGCUGUUAGAAACUAUGUCCAUGAGUUCAAGUCUUUCUAGGCCCCAGCCAAGGCCCAGUUAAGAAGAGGGCUGGGAAGAGCCUGAGCAGAAUCUGGUAAGGAGAGAAUCUCUAUCACAACCUUUUAAACAUCUGAAAGCUAUGGCACUUUGCAACAACAAAAAACGAGUCUGUUUACCGCAUAUUGCAUAGAAUUUCAGUUUUCCAUCCCCCACCCCUGAGCCUGUCUGCACACCCCAGGUUACCAGCCUUUGCCUUGAGGUGGGUUAGUACGUUUUAGGCAUUAUAUCUGUGAAUUGGUAAUUGCCAUUAUGGCCUGCCUUGGGUUAUUCACCUUAACAUGUGUGUAGCCACAGGGCACCUCUUUGAGAUCAACUACUAAUAGAAUUCUCUUAUUUGACUGAUGAGGAAAUGUCAAGCAAGAAAAGGCAAAGCCAAGGCUGGACUGAUUUAAUCAGCAAAGAUACAACAAGCCACUGUUAGAUUUAGACAUUUUAUUGCUAAAUAGUGAAAGGAAGAGUAAGGCAAAGGUGCCGGCUCCCCAGGAACCUUGUCCCGCACAUUCAAAAAGACGACACUGAAACUUUUCCCACCAGAUGAGUGCAGCGUGAGUUAUGGGGUAUCCCGUUGCUGAGGCGUUCCUUCUAGACUGCAGCCAAAGGGUUUUAUGUUCUGCAGCUCUUGUCUGAGUGGGGGUGGGCAGAAACCCCACACUUCAUCGGAACCUGGGAGGUGAUGAGAAAUUGUUUCAUGACAACCUCCCUAGUGAGAUAGGGAGAUGAGUGGGUGCGGGCCUUAUUGCAACUCCUCACAGAACGCUCUUCCAUGUCCCAGGAAGAUGACAAAGUGUUCUGCCAAAACUUAUAAGCUAUGGCUCAAGUCUCUGUGUGCAUAGAUAGGUACGGGGCUGCUCCACCGUUCAACCCCGACCCUUCACAUAUCCCAGAAUUUGCAGGGAUGUAAAUACCCCAUCAGAUAAAUAUUCCAGUUCUACUGACGGGAGCGCCUACCAAAUCUGUCUUUGGCAGUAUUGGAUGAGAGUCACCACAACCGUGACUCCCUGUAGGUUGAUUAGGCCUGUUUGGAGUAUAUACUGCAGCCAGGCGCCCCAUCCAAGGGCAACCGGAGUUGCAACCACGCACACCCCACUUCAGCCAGCCCCGCGGAAGUGCCGGGCAUUACGGUUGCCUAUUACCACCCGUGCUGAAGGGUUUGGAGCAGCCUGUGACAAAUGAACAAGAGGCCAACAGUAACAGGAUGAAGCUAAAGAGACCAGAUCAGUGUCCAGAAGGUUAAUCUUGUCCUGUUAUCUUUAUUGGAGGCUGACCAUUUCUGAAAUCACUGGCCCUUGGGAGGUUUCUAAGAGUUUUUAGAUUGAGAUUCUAUUUGGCCAGCAGUCAAGUUGAGGGCGGUGGUGGUCUGAGUUAACUUGGCCACAUGUCAGUUAGAUGCCACCUUGUCUGUAGAUAGGGGCUGAGAGAGAGAGAGAGAGAGAGAGAGAGAUUAAUAGUCCCUCCCUGCUACCUCCAACUUCCUGGGGAUGACCCCUUAUCUCCCACAAGCCAGAGGUAUUCCUCUCCCCACAGCCAUGUGUACAAUGUGACAACCUCCUAGCAGUCCCUUCACUUUUUUGUCCCAAUCCUCCUGUGUGUCCUAACCCUCACAUGAGCCCUGCUCUCUCCUGAGGUGCCUCAGUGAUUUCUUCCUUGUAUACCUCCUACCAUUCUAGAACAUCUCCCAUCCCCACAUCGGGGCCAUCUUGGGAGCUGAAACCUCAUAUUCGUGGCCAUUACCGUCCAUAUCUAUUACUGCCCAAGAGCGGCAAGCAGAAGUGAUGGCGAAAGAAGCACCAGGUUAGGAUAGCUUACUCCAUGACUCUUCUCGCUACUUGCAAAGUAGCUGUUAGUUUUCCAAGGGGGUAGGUGUGGGAAGAAAAAUGGGGGAAUGAGAAGAGUUAAUUAUGCGGCUCGGGUCUCUUACAGCCUAUCUCGGGCCUCUUCCUGGCUCUCCAAUCUCACAAUGAAGAAUUCUGUUGAAAUGGCAGAUACCCUCCUGGUGAAUUGUCACAUAGAUAUUCCAAACUGACUUUCUUAGGUGUGUCAUCCACUGGGAGCUGAGGCUGGGUUAUCCAGUUAUCUUUUUCAGUUUCUCCUUUAAGAGUCCACUCCACGUUUCAGUGGCACUGUCUUCCUGGGGAUGAUACGAGGCAUGGAAGGUUCAGUGAAUGUUCCACGCAGCUGCCACUGCUGGGUCCUUUUUACUUCAAGUGGGAACCAUUGUUUGAAUGGAUGCCCUUGGGAAACCAAAUGUAUAGCACUGUCCAUCGAAGGGUCUUUGAAUAGUGUGCCCCUCGUGCUGUGGAGAUGGAGACGGUAGUGUCAUACAUUGAAGAGGUGUCUGCUACAAUCGAUGUCCGAUGGUACCCUCAAGAGGAUGGUAGGGGACCUGUAUAGUCUGUUUGGUAGGACAGGCCAGGUCCAGUACCCCUCACUAUGAGCCCCCAAAUUUCUUUUACCACUGGAAUGUCUAGCUGGCGGUCUGGGCAUAUUUGCCACCUUCUUUGGCUUCACAUACUGCGGUCACUGUGCCUUGUUUGGGGGCUCCCGUGGAUGGAGUACCAUGCGCUGUGCAGCAGUCUGUCUGGAUGGCUACGGUCCUUACAUUUGUAUCACAGGUCUCCUCAGCUUGCUGAUUUCACCCAUGUUGAUCCAAGGAAACCUUUGCCACGGGCAUCCCUCCGGGUCAUGAACAGAGGGUAUGGGUCUUGUGUGAUCUGCUGCCAUGAUGAUCAUUGCCAAAGAGGCUGAGACUUGUUCAUCCAGGCCUUCCACUGCCAGGCAUCAGCCCACAUGCUCAUGAGUCAGUGAAAAUGUAACAGGGUGUAUUUGGGGAGGUCUUUUCCAGAGCAAGUAGCACAGCUCACAACAGCGAGCGUUCUCCUUUCCAUGCAUAGUUUUAGACAAUUUUCUUUGGGGGGUAUAUGGCAGCAUCUCCCCAGGACACCCCAUGGCCCCCAACUGAGCUGAUCUAUCCAUGAACCAGGCCCAGGCAUUGUCAGUAACUUCAUUGAAGGUAAGCCCCCAAGAAAUCUGAGGUGUUGGCAUAGACCCUGCAUCUGAGUCAACACAUCUAGAGGGCGACUAACCACUUAAUGGCUGGUGUGCUAUUUUCUGGAUGUACUGCAGCCACAUAAUCAGGGAUGCUUGUCAGGCAGUACCCACUUGAUGUUCUCGUUUCCCACGGGACAUCAGGUAGAACAGCACUUUGCCGUGUCCGUCUCAGUGUGCAUUAGCGCUCAAUAUGAAGCCAGUAAUUGUCUCUCAGUUGGGGUAUUCUGGGUGGUGAGGUCAGGCAAGUGCCAUGUCCAAAACCCUAAGGAACCAUUGCCCAGUGGCCACAUAAUUUUACCACUGGUCUCAGUCUGUGUAAUGUCAGUCACUGACACGUGUAGCUCACAUGUCUCAUGAGGGCUGACUGGCCGCAGUGGAAGAGCAGUUUGUACUGUUGGAUUGUCUAUCUAUCUACCGAUCUAUCGAUCUAUCCAUCUAUCUUAGUAAUCUCUACGCCCAAAGUUGCACCUCUUCCAACUGAACCAGCCAGACACCCCUGGAUUGUUUCCUUAAGCAUGUUUGUCUGUACUAGUUCUUUGAUCAAGACAGUGAUCUUCCUUUCCACCCCUUCCCUUUCCUUGGAAUCCCAUACUACUUUACUGAUACCGCGUGACUGAACCCAGAGAACAAGGUGGACUCCUGGUGGUCCACUCAACCCACUACUGCUGCUCUAAUCAUGGUGUUUCCCCACCGAAAACAUCCCUUACAGUUUAGAGAAAUAUUACAUGUAUUUAACACAUUUAUUCCCACAAUACAUUCAGUAUAUCUUUGACGAACUGAUGACCAGGGAGUAUUUUAUCUGUAGCCACAGCCACCUGUCUAAUGGAAACAGUUUUCCUUUCCUUAGUAAUACAGACGGGUAAGGAACAACCACGGAAUGUUUUUAAACAUUUUAUGGGGCCCUCUCCCUUUUUUCUC